Molecule: long non-coding RNA, 2419 nt
Filed under: Anas platyrhynchos platyrhynchos (common mallard)
Lineage: Eukaryota; Metazoa; Chordata; Aves; Anseriformes; Anatidae
Description: lncRNA (ENSAPLG00000018267.1)
Source: RNAcentral
CCCCCCCAACAGCCUCCAAUGUCCCCAGUGUCCCCCGAUGUCCCCGUCAGAGCCCCAAGGACCCCUCAGGAUGUCCCCCUUGUGCCUCCCACAGCCCCCCCGUUGCGUCCCCAAAUUGUCCCCUUAGGGCCGCGCUGUGUCCCCACCUUGUCCCCCACAGCCUGGGGACAUCCAGCCGGGGGAUCCUGGGGGCUGUCGGGGACAAUCCCGGCGGUGGGGACAAUUCAAGGACACGUCCCCUUGUCCUCAAGGACGUCCCCACCCCCCCAAGUGACGAACCAGAGCCUGGGCGCACCCUUAAGCUUUAUUUAUUUAUCGGUGCGAGGAGACAAAGGACAGUGCCACCCUCCCUGUCCCCAAAAGGCCACCUCAGAGUCCCCAAAAAGGACCAGGGGGACCCCAGGACGCCCCCGGGUGACACCGCUGUCCCCAAGGUCACCGGGGGGGCUACGGCUGCCCCGCCACCUCCCCGGGCAGCACCCGCAGCGCCUCCGCCAGCCUCUGUGUCGCCUCCUCGUCCUGGGUCACCGUCCCCAAGGCCACCGCGGCUGUCCCCAAGGCGCGGGUGGUGGCGGGGAAGCCGCGGGCGUCCUGCAGGUCGUCCUCCAGUGCUCCCAGUAGCUGCCGCAACUGGUCGGCCAGGUGACGGUAAUGGGCCAGUUGGUGACGUUGCUGGUCCAAGGCGGUGGCCAGGCAGGGGACGAGGUGGCCCUCCUGUGUCACCCCCAGCGCCUCCCGCACCGCGUCGAAGGACACUGCGGGGACAAGGAGGGACGGGGGUGGCACCUGGUGGCCCCUGGUGGCGUUCCCAGGGUCACCGUCCCCAAAUUGUGGCCUCUGGACCCCCUCCCAGUGCCCCCCAGUUCCCUCCCAGUGCCCCCAUCCCCUCCCCAGUGUCCUCUUCCCAGUGUCCCUGUCCCCUCCCGGUGUCCCCAUCCUGUCCCAGUGCCCCCAUCCCCUCCCAGUAUCCUCUUCCCAGUGUCCCCAUCCCCUCCCAGUGUCCCCAUCCCCUUCCCAGUGUCCCUUGAUCCCCUCCCAGUACCCUCCGGCUCACUCCCAGUGCCCCCAGUCCCUCCUCCCAGUGCCCCCCAGUUCCCUCCCAGCGCCCCCAUCCCCUUCCCAGUGUCCCUGUCCCAUCCCAGUGUCCCCAUUCCCUCCCAGUGCCCCCGUCCCCUUCCCAGUGUCCUCUUCCCAGUGUCCCCAUCCCCUCCCAGUGCUCCCAGUCCCCCUGCCCUCCCACUAUCCUUUGAUCCCCUCCCAGUGUCCCUUGAUCCCCUCCCAGUGGCCCCUGGUCCAUACUGGGAGCACAGGAGUGUCUACACUGGUCUAUACUGGAACUCCCUACUGGUCUAUAGCAGUUCUUACUGGUCUGUAGGGCUCCUUGAUGGUCUAAACCAGUCAGGGCAGGAUAAAACCUAAUGGUUCUUACUGGUCUGUACUGGUCCUUAGUAGUUUACGGUAGUUCCCGCUAACCUCUAGCGGUGUAUACUGGUCUAAACUGGUCUGCAGGGCACCUGUACUGGUACGUAGUAGAAAAAGGGGGAAGAGCCUACUGGUUUGCAGAAUUCCUUACUGGUCUGAACUGGUGCCUACUGGGCCAUAGCACUCUCCACCAGCACCAGUGAACCAAAUGGACCUGAAGGACUCCCUGUUGGUCCCUUACUGGUUUGUACUGGUUCAUACUGGUCCCUUACUGGCUUUUGCUGCUUUUUUACUGGCCUCUACUGGAUUUUACGAGCCAAUAUUGUUUUUUACUGGUUUCUUACUGGUUCCUACUGCUUUUUUACUGGCCUCUACUGGAUUUUACUGCUUUUUUACUGGCCUCUACUGGAUUUUACUGCUUUUUUACUGGCCUCUACUGGAUUUUACGAGCCUCUACCGUUUCUUACUGGUUAAUACGACUUCUUACUGCUUCCUACCAGUUCCUUACUGGCUUUUACUGCUUUUUUACUGGUUCCUUACUGGCUUUUACUGCUUUUUUAUUGGCCUCUACUGGAUUUUACGAACCUCUGCCAUUUUUUACUGGUUCCUUACUGGCCUCUACUGGUUUUUACUAGCCUCUACCGUUUCUUAUUGGUUUCUAUGACUUCUUACUGGUUCCUACCAGUUCCUUACUGGUUCCUACUACUUUUUUACUGGCCUCUACUGGAUUUUACUGCUUUUUUUACCAGCCUUUACUGGAUUUUACGAGCCUCUAUUGUUUUUUACUGGUUCCUUACUGGUUCCCACUGCUUUUUUACUGGCCUCUACCGUUUUUUACUGGUUCCUACUGCUUUUUUGCUGGCCUCUACUGGAUUUUACUGGUUUCCACCACUUCUUACUGGCUCCUCCUGGCCCCCCCCGGCCCGUACUCACGCAGGGGGGUGCAGAGCAGCAGCAGCCCCAGGGCGACGUUGCGCAGCACCACCAGGAGCUUCUG